Molecule: long non-coding RNA, 2057 nt
Organism: Rhododendron vialii
Lineage: Eukaryota; Viridiplantae; Streptophyta; Magnoliopsida; Ericales; Ericaceae
Exons: 3
Source: RefSeq, a predicted model, not a curated record
CUAUGUAUGAAUAUGUCCCACGCCCAACGCGUCUGCCAAAACGAAUUCCCGAUCAGCUAACUGGACACUUGUUGUAGGAUAACAACAUGUCUGUGAACAUCCAUUCAAAGUGUGCUCCUAUUUUUUUUGUAUUCUAUGUGUUCAACAAUAUGUAUGAGAUACAAAUGAAUGGUAAUCUAUGUGUUUGACCAACCAAUAGUGUUGGGAAUCUUCUUUUGGCUGGAUUGAUGUUAGCAAAAAUCCAUUUGCUUUACGGUUUAAAACUUAUUUCUUACUUUUGUUAUAGCCAGUUCAUGGAUUCGUCGAGUAGGAUUUGGUGAUUGAUGUUGAUUGAGGCUAUAUUAAUAUUACAUUCACCUGUGCUUGAAUCCGCCUUUAGGCAUGGCAUUCUCUAUGUCUUUCAGCUUCAUAGAUGUCCUAUUUUGUUGUCAUUUUAUUUCUUUGAUUGAUUUGCUUCGAUUUGUUAAGAGAUUAUAUAACAAUCUGUUAAAUGUAACAAUCUGUUAUGUCUUCUUUUAAGGGAUUAUAAUAAGGUAUCAUAUAUUUGUUAAAUUAAAAGUCAUAGAAAUGCAACUUUAAAAUGCUUGCUGACCACUCUUUUUUUUUAAUUUUUAAAGUAGGAUUGGUUUGCUAUAUACAUUGUAAAGAGUAUGCGACAUUAAAGUUUUCUGUUGCCGACAUUAAUGUAUCAUUCAUGUUGAUUCAAAUGUUGGAUUUAUACUUACAUUUGUUAAGUUGCUAUGUUUUCGUCUGAAGCUAUAUGUUCAAUUUACAUUUGGGGAUUCAAUGUCAGAAGGGGCAUUGAGAGAUUUUAUGCCAUUCUAUGUUGAAUGGUAAACAAAAACAAAAUGUUGUUUUUGCUUUGUAUCUUCUUUUCCCUUCUCUUUCGCAGUAAAACCAAGAUGUCUUUCAGGAAUCAAUUUUGUUAGAUUAUUAGGAGAUGAUGAAGAAGCGUUUCAUGUUCUAUAUUGUAUAGCUUUCAAAAUGAUGGAUGUUGAGUGGCUUGUUAUGCGUGAUUCAUGUAUGGAAUUUAAUUUAAUCUCUCUCUCUCUCUCAAAAACUUGUAUAUAAUCACACUGCUUCGAAACUCAUCCUGCUGUAGCUCGGUGCAUGUUUUCCACCCCGACAAUAAAUGGCUUCAAUUAUCGCAAUAAAUUUUUACUCUUGGGCUUUGAGUUUCAAUAAACAAUUUUGAAGUUAAACUACAAUAUCUUACACUUGCAGUUUUAAACUAGUUUGUGCUUGCAGCUCCACAUCUUUUUUGUUUUGAUAAGAGUCCUAAGUUUUGCCGCACCGACUCCGUUUUUAGAUGCAACAGUAGUGAAUAAAGAGAACUGUUAUUCAUCGUGUUAGGCUUGGGACAUCCACAGAUGCAGUCUUCUUUAUCUACUGUACAUUGAAAUAAAACCUGAAACAUUGCGUGAGAUUGGUUCGAGAAUCAACUUACUCCCUUUAUUUGUUGCAGCAGAACAUGAAAAAAGUGUUUGAAGAUGCCAUUUUCUGCUUCAAUAUUGUCCUCUUGUUUAUGUGCUUGUCUUGCUUAUGGUUCUAUUGUUUCCCAUCGGUGCAUAUUGCUUCUUACUUGAUUUAUUUUCCCUUCAUUAUUCUAUGUGUUCUUCUCAAAUUUUAAUGUCAGAACUCGAUAAUUUACUUAUACUUCUAAAGUUCAAAUUAUUGAUAUUGGGGAGCAUUACCUGAAUUCAUUUGUGCUUGAUUUUGUUUGGUUUUGUUGUCAAAUAAAGAGGAUUUUGAGAAGAGAAUGAAGGGUGGAUAUGUGUAUAGAAUCAGAGCUGGUUACGUGUUCUACUUGAGGAAUACUACAAAGAGCCAAAGGCUCCAUAUCAUUUCCAGUAUUCACAAGUGUGAUGGCUUCGGAUGGGGCAGCUUCCACCUACUUUAAAAGUCAUUUCAUGACUGUUUCUUUCUUCAUCGGUGGAAGAACGAAUCCCAUGUCUGUGCUUUCUAGUUUCGACGCUGUGACUCUUGCAACCGCAUUCAAUCUAAGCAUUAUGUACCAAUGGUUAGACCAUAGUGCUAUGUAACUAUACAUGCACAAA